GCGUCGACCGGCGAAUGGGUGAGUAACGCGUAUCCAACCUGCCCUUAAGUAGGGAACAGCCCAGUGAAAAUUGGAUUAAUGCCCUAUGUUCUUCCACGAGGUCCUCCGAGUGGGAGCAAAGAUUUAUCGCUUAAGGAUGGGGAUGCGUCUGAUUAGCUUGUUGGCGGGGUAACGGCCCACCAAGGCAACGAUCAGUAGGGGUUCUGAGAGGAAGGUCCCCCACAUUGGAACUGAGACACGGUCCAAACUCC
RNAcentral lists this ribosomal RNA (251 nucleotides) under uncultured Prevotellaceae bacterium. RNAcentral describes it as "partial 16S ribosomal RNA". It matches the Rfam family "Bacterial small subunit ribosomal RNA", at positions 88 to 339 of the family's 1533-position model. Lineage: Bacteria; Pseudomonadati; Bacteroidota; Bacteroidia; Bacteroidales; Prevotellaceae. The record is from RNAcentral.